UAUCUCACUUUUCAAUUCUGUUAAAAUUUGAUUUAUGUAUCUUGCAGCCCUGUCAUUGGGUGCAUAAAUAUUUAAUAUGGUUAUGUCUUCCUGAUCAAUUGUCCCUUUUAUCAUUAUGUAGUGUCCUUCUUUAUCCUUUGUGGUGGAUUUAAGUCUAAAGUCUAUUUUGUCAGAAAUUAAUAUUGCUACUCCUCUUCUUUUUUGCUUAUUGUUUGCUUGAUAUAUUUUUUUUUCAUCCUUUUGAGUUUUAGUUUGUGUCUCUAAGUCUAAGGUGUGUCUCUUGUAGGCAGCAUAUAGACGGAUCGUGUUUCUUUAUCCAGUCCGUGACUCUCUGUCUCUUUAUUGGUGCAUUUAGUCCAUUUACAUUCAGCCUAAUUAUAGAUAAAUAAGUGUUUAGUGUUGUCAUUUUGAUGCCUUUUUGUGUGUGUUGUUGACAAUUUCGUUUUUCCACAUACUUUUUUGUGCUGAGACUUUUUCUUAGUAAAUUGUGAGAUCCUCAUUUUCGUAGUGUUUGACUUUAUGUUUGUUGAGUCGUUACGUUUUUCUUGGCUUUUAUCUUGAGUUAUGGAGUUGUUGUACCUCUUUGUGGUUACCUUAUUAUUUACCCCUAUUUUUCUAAGUAAAAACCUAACUUGUAUUGUUCUAUAUCGCCUUGUAUCACUCUCCAUAUGGCAGUUCUGUGCCACCUGUAUUUAGUCCCUUUUUUUGAUUAUUGUGAUCUUUUACAUAUUGACUUCAGUGAUUCCCUGUUAUGAGCAUUUUUUUUUUUAAUUAAUCCUAAUUUGUUUUUGUGAUUUCCCUAUUUGAGUUGAUAUCAGGACGUUCUGUUUUGUGACCUUGUGUUGUGUUGAUAUCUGAUAUUAUUGGUUCUCUGACCAAACAAUAUCCUUUAGUAUUUCUUGUAGCUUUGGUUUGGUUUUUGCAAAUUCUCUAAACUUGUGUUUAUCUGUAAAUAUCUUAAUUUCGCCUUCAUAUUUCAGAGAGAGUUUUGCUGGAUAUAUGAUCCUUGGCUGGCAGUUUUUCUCCUUCAGUGCUCUGUAUACGUCGUCCCACUCCCUUCUUGCCUGCAUGGUUUCUGCUGAGUAGUCUGAACUUAUUGAUUCUCCCUUGAAGGAAACCUUUCUUUUCUCCCUGGCUGCUUUUAAAAUUUUCAGGUUAUCUUUGGUUUUGGCAAGUUUGAUGAUAAUAUGUCUUGGUGUUUUUCUUUUUGGAUCAGUCUUAAAUGGGGUUCGAUGAGCAUCUUGGAUAGAUAUCCUUUUGUCUUUCAUGAUGUCAGGGAAGUUUUCUGUCAGGAGAUCUUCAGCUAUUUUCUCUGUGUUUUCUGUCCUCCCUCCCUGUUCUGGGACUCCAAUCACACGCAAGUUAUCCUUCUUGAUAGAGUCCCACAUGAUUCUCAGGGUUUCUUCAUUUUUUUAAAUUCUUUUAUCUGAUUUUUUUUUACAGCUAUGUUGGGGUUAAUUCCCUGGUCCUCCAGAUGUCUCAGUCUGCAUUCUAAUUGCUCAAGUCUGCUCCUCUGACUUCCUAUUGCGUUGUCUAAUUCUGUAAUUUUAUUGUAAAUCUUUUGGAUUUCUACAUGCUGUCUCUCUCUGGAUUCUUGCAACUUAUUCAUUUUUCCACAAUGUUCUUGAAUAAUCUUUUUGAGUUCUUCAACUGCUUUAUCAGUGUGUUCCUUUGCUUUUUCUGUAGAUUGCCUUAUUUCAUUUCUGAGGUCAUUUCUGAUGUCUUGAAGCAUUCUGUAAAUUAGUUUUUUAUAUUCUGUAUCUGAUAAUUCCAGGAUUGUGUCUUCAUUUGGGAAAGAUUUUGAUUCUUUUGUUUGGGGGGUUGUAGAAGCUGUCAUGGUCUGCUUCUUUAUGUGGUUUGAUAUGGACUGCUGUCUCCGAGCCGUCACUGGGAAACUAGUUUUUCCAGAAAAUCCGCUAAAAAAAAAUGGAGUCAGAUCCCUAUCAGAACUGCCUUUGGAUUAUAACCUCCACCUUGUUCCCUGUAAGGAUGAAAGUCUGAGAUUUGGAUCGUAUAUUCUUGGCUGUAGCUGGUUCUGUGUUUUUAGUCCAAUUAGGGGUGGAUUUUUGGUCCCUGGGUUUUUUGUGGUUCCUUCUGUCAGGCCGGAAGAGUGGGUUAGGAAAAGACCAAAAGAAAAAAAAAGGGGGGUGGAAGCAAAGCCGCCGCGGAGCCGGAGCUGUUCUCCUUCUGGCUCAGGAAAUUCCAAUGUUAAUGAAGCUGCCAGGGUAGGGUGGGGGAAGGAUCAGAGAGAUAGGAGAGUAGCACCUGGGAAUAUAGCCUGAGUUGCUUGUGUUGCUUGGGAUGACUAUUUUAUCUGAGAUUCCCGAGGGGCGUGUCGCCUAUGUGUGCUGGCUGUGUGGAGAUUGCCCCCGGGUAUCUGGCCCACUGAAGCCGCGGUCAGAUCCUCCGCUGCCAGUCCAAAGCCCAGUGUCAAGAUUCCCCUGCUGGGACGCUGCACUCCCGACUCCAAAAUCAGUCGCUGCCUCCCGGGGACUUCUUGUCCGGCCAGCCGCGUCGCCCCGCCGCUCCCGCGGACCGGCUGGGCCCCGUCCCGGGGUUAGUUCAGGGGAGUGGAUCUGCUCCCCGUAUUUGUGCUGUGACAGCGCCCAGUCAAAAACCCGGCGGCAAGAUUCCCUGGCUAGGACGCUGCACUCCCAGCUCCAAGACCAGUCACUGCCUCCCGGGGAAUUCUCCCACCGGCUGCGUCUCCACGCCACCCGCGCGGACCGGCUGGGCUCCCUCCCGGGUUGAGUUCAGGGGGGUAGGGCUGCGCCCCUUGUUUGUGCCGUCAGCUCCCCUGGGCCCUGACCUAAACCGGGCGCCAAGGUUACCUGACUGGGACACUGGCUCCAGGCUCCGAAAACUGUCGCUGCUUCCCCGUAUUUGUUCGUUAUCCAUCUCUAAAUCUGUGUUUGUUGUUCAGGGUUCGUAGAUUGUUACGUAUGUGAUCGAUUUACUUGUUUUUCCGAGUCUUUGUUGCAAGAGGGAUCCGAGGUAGGGUCUACCUAGUCCCCCAUCUUGGCCCCCUCCAGCUCUAUUGUGUUUUUUAAUCCAUUCUAUCACUCUCGCUCUUUAUUGGUGCAUAUAGCCCAUUUACAUUCAGUGUAAUUAUGGAUAUGUAUGAGUUUAGUUCUGUCAUUUUGAUGUCUUUUUUUGUGUGUGUUGACAGUUUGUUUUUUCCCACUUAGUUUUUUGUGCUGAAUGGUUUAUUUAUUGUCUUUUCCUCAUAUUCUUUGUCGAUUUUGUUUUUGCUGAGUGUUUUUUUCUUGUAUUUUAUUUUGAUGAAUAGGAUUGUUAAUGUCCCUUGUGGUUAUCUUAAUAUUUACCCCUGUUUUUCUAAGUUUAGACCUAACUGUAUUUCUUUAUAUCGCCUUGACUUCCUUUCCAUGUGAAAGAUCUAUCACUACCUUUCUUAGUCCUUCUUUCUUGUUUUAAUGUUGUCUUCUUUUACAUAAUGACAUCGGUGUUUCCCUCUUUUGAGCUUUAUUUAUUUAUUGAUUUACUUUUGUGAUUUCCCUGUCUGGGUUGACUUCUGAUUGCUGUGCCCAGUGUUCUAGCCUUGGGUUGAUACCUGAUAGUAUUGAUUUUCUAACCAAAGAACUCCCUUUAGUAUUUCUUGUGGUUUUGGUUUGGUUUUUAUGAAUUCCCUAAACUUCUGUUUAUGUGGAAAUGUCCUAAUUUUGCCUUCAUAUUUGCGAGACAGUUUUGCUGGAUAUAAGAUUCUUGGUAGAAAUUUUUUUUUUUUAUGUAAGUCAUCCCAUUGCCUUCUUGCCUGCAUGGUUUCUGCCGAGUAGUCUGAGCUUAUUCUUAGUAACUCUCCUUUGUUAGGUGACUUUUCGUUUAUGCCUAGCAAUUCUUAAAAUUCUGUCUUUAGCUUUGGUUUUGGCAAGUUUGAGUAUAAUAUGUCUUGGUGACUUUCUUUUAAAAUCUACCUUAUGUGGAGUUUGACGAGCAUCUUAGAUAUCAUCUCUUCUUUCACAAUAUCAGGGAGGUUUUCUGCCAACAAAUCUUCAACAGUUCUCUUUGUAUUUUCUGUCAUCCCUCCCUGUUAUGGUACUCCAAUCAGUUGUAGGUUAUUUCUCUUGAUAUGAUAGAGUCCCACAUGAUUAUUAGGGUUUCUUCAUUUUUCCAAAUUCUUUUAUCUGAUAUUUCUUCGACUAUAUUGGUGCUAUUUCAUUUUCAGUCUCACUGAUUCUGCCUUCUACUUGCUCAAUUCGCCUCCUGUGACUUUCUAUUGAGUUGUCUAAUUCUGUAAUUUUAUUGUUAAUGUUCUGAGUUUUUGGUUGUCGUUUCUCUGUGGAUUAUUGCAGCUUAUUAAAUUUUUUGUUACGUUCUUGCAUACGUUUUUAAUGCCUUCAGCUGCUCUAUGUGUGUGUUCCUUGGGUUGUUCUGAGUUUGCCUGAGCUCCUUCCUGAUCUGGUUCCUGAUGUCUUGAAGAAUUCUGUAUAUUAAUCUUUUGUAUCCUGCAUCUGGUAAUUCCGGGAAGGCACCUUCAUCCAGAAGAUCCCUUGAUUCUUUGGUUCGAGAGCUUGUUGAAGCGAUUAUGGUGUGCUUCUUUAUGUGAUUUGAUAUUGACUUUUGUCUCCGAGCCAUCUAUUAAUUAUUAAUUUAUGUUAUGUUUGCUUAUUGUAUGCCAGCUUCUUUCUCUGUUUUGAUUUGAUAUGCCCAAAUAGGCUGCUUGAGUGAGCUAGCUUGAUGAUUAUAUUUUCGCCUUUGAAGCUCUAACAUUCUGUCACCAGAUGGCUAGAGGUGUUACCAGGUAUAUGAGCCAGGAGUCCUUUCACUUUUCUUGUAUUGAUUCAGCUCAGGUAUCCAGGUAGUUCACCAUCCAGUGUGUGGUACAGGCUGUGUCCUACAGUCUUAGAGGGGCAGAGGUGAUUGGUGUAGGUACAGAUAUCUGGUUGCAGCAGGGGGUCAUGCUCUGCACAAGGCGGGGGCCUGACAACCAUCCCCUAAGAUUCUGUGAGGAUAGCACUUCCCUGUUCCCUGGAGUGCAGAGGUGGGUGGGUUUUGCGGACAGACCAUGAGCACCUAGUGCUUUUGUUUGUAAGGACUGGGAGGUACCAGUUAUCCUUGGACCCCUUUUGUAGGUGGCUGGGUGAUGUGGGUGGAGUCACCAGUUCUUAGGCCGCUGAUGUUGUAGGUGAGGACCCUGUAUAAUAGGCAAAGCAGUGUCAAACAUCAAACACUCACCUGUCCACCGCACAGCUGAAACAGUUGCAAAAUGCCAACAUGGGCCUAUUCUCCUGAAAUAGGCCCACACAGGUCCAUGCAGGGCUGAAGGUAAUCUUUCCUCCCAAUUGUGAAUUUAUGCCUUCUCCAGGGCCUGCAGAAUGGAUCAGUGCACUCAGCAGGAGGCCCAGGGAAGUCAACAGCCACUGAAGGUGGCUUAGGGGCUGGGGUGUGGUGAAAGAUAUGGAAGGACUUAGGUUUUGCUGAGAGCUCCAUUCUUCUCUGGUUUUGGAGGUAUGAGUAGGCUGUGCGGCUGACUGUCUCUCCCUGAGGAUAGUGCAUUUGGAAUGGUAGCGCCAGCCCCUCCACGGUCACUCUAGGGAAUUGAUGCCUGACGGCUUCUGGCGAUUCAGGUUCGGCAACUUAUUUCCACUUGUGAACUGCCUCUCCCUACCCCUGCCACUCAAUCUGUUUUCCUACUUUGCCUUUGAUGUUCAGGGCUCCUAGCUUGUUAUAAAUACAACCGUUUCACUUGUUUUUUCGAGUCUUUGUUGUAAGAGGGAUCACUGGAAAUGUCUGACUACUCUGCCAUCUUGUACUCACCUCGCCAUAAGACUUUUAUUGGCUGGUUUUCAGAAGAAGAUCAUUAGGCCUUUCUUUCCAGUCUGUCUUAAUCUGGAAGCUCUGCUGAAAUCUGUUCAGCAUCAUGGUAGCUUCCAAGUCUUCAAUGACAUGGGCGGUGACUGUACAUGACAUGCAUUGGCCAGGAACCAGACCUGUGUCUCUCGCAGGGAAGGUGAGAAUUCUGCCCCUGAGCCACCAAUGCCUCAUACAUACACUUCUGUAGAUGAGAUUAUUUUGGUUGACCAGGCAAGGCUUGGUGAACAGAAGUCUUACAGUGGAAUCAGCCCUUACAGCUCCAUAGGGUACUGCAGUUGCUUUAGUAGGUACAGAAACAAGCACAUUAGAUAAAUGGAUAUUUGUUGGAAAUGAUUAGUUUUAUUAGUACUUGGUUAAUUGUCUGCAUGAAGAAAUGUGGAAACCCCUGUGUGUGAGCUAAUCCCCAUUUUCUCUUGUUCCUCAUUCUUACAAAUUAUCUAAACAAUUCCUGUGUUGUAGAUGCCAUUAAAAUCAACCUUUGAGAUCUAGAAGUAAUCUUUAUUACACCAUUGUACUUUGCAAAGCGUUGUCACCUAAUAAAAAUUAACUACCCUUCAAAUACUGUUUAAGGAUAAAGUAGCUCAGUUUUAUAUAUUUUUGAAUUUUUUGGUAAUAUUUACUUACCAAACCAAACCUGUUGCCAUCUAGUCAAUUCCAAUUCAUAGCAACCCUGUAGGACAGAGUAGAACUGCCCCAUAGGGUUUCCAAGGAGUGGUUGGUGGAUUCAAAUUGUAGACCUUUUGGUUAGCAGCUUGAGCUCUUAACCACUUUGCCACCGGAAAUAAACCAUGCUGCAUAGUGAAACAUAGACUUCUUAAUGCCGUCCCCCAGCUAUGCAGUUUUUCUCUGAGGGGCGGUUUUGUUAUUAGUUUCUUUACAGAAGUUUCUACAAAUUUACAGGCACACGUGUAUAUAUUCUUAAAACAUAUGCAAAUAAAAGCAUACUACACACUUCUCUAUAAUUCGCUUAUUUCCUGCACAGUAUUCUAUUUUGGAGACUGUUCCAAGUCAAAAAGUUCCUUAACUGUUGGAUUCUUGGGUGUGGUAAUAAUUUACUUGAAAUAUUGAACUCUGAAAGGAAAUAGAGGCGAGACCAGCUCUUCAGGAUUAUAAAAGAAAUCAUGGGUGAAGACAUUUAAAAUUCGGCUUCCAGCGUAAUUCAGAACAGUUAAAAGUCUAGGAAUGCUGGGAUCAUAUUUCUUUCAGCUGACCACCCUGUCCUGGAAUGAAAGGAGCGAAUCAGUGCACUUGAACGCCCACCUUGGUCCUUGUCCAUCGUCUACCCAUCUGGUCAAAUGAUUUUAUGGGAGAAACACUUUUAAUGAUACAGGAGAAACAAUCCAGAAGGCAAAUCUUACUUCAUUUGUGAAAUUCUUUCUCCGUAUAAAGAAUUUAUGUAUAUAAAAACAAUCAUAAACACUUUCUUUUAACAUAUGCCUUACAAACACAUUUGCUGUGCUUAAAAUAUCUGGAAUAAAUGCAAGCUCAGGUUCUCAUUUUGAUUCAGUUGUGUGUGUGUGUAUGGCUUUAAUUAAAUCAAAAUAGUAUCUACCUCUUGUGGUGGUGUAGUAGUCUAGUAGUCUUGCUGGUUAAUGUUGGAAAAUUCUAUGACAGUAGCCCGUAAAUUCAGAGUAAUGACCUUCCCUUCUUAACUCCCUGUAACUAGGCAUCAGUAGAAGGAUUUUUACCACUGCUCUGUAGCCCUUAAUUUUGGGUCAGCCCCCACGAUAAGAAAUUUGGCAUUGUUGUUAGGAAAAUAGUGUUUUUAACUUAAAAUAUGUAGUUCUCACUCUAAGAAAAAUAAUGGGAUGGACAAAUAAAGGCAGAUAAAACGUAUUAUGGUGAUAGACAAAUCAUUUUCUCAUUCUAAACUGAUGCCAGAUAAGUAGGCUUGGAUUCCAAGUGGGAGUUGGUUCCCUGGGUGUGCAAGAUGGGCAGGUGACUACUCCCCGUUUUCACUUGGUCUUGAUUGAAUUGUAAACCCUCACUGUCACAGUUUAGAAUGUCAUUAUAAUAUUCUAGCUUACUAGUAAGGCUCUUCUGUGCUUAAGUAGCAUUACCUGCAAACUAGCACAAAACAAUCAAUUUCCAAAGGUCAGUGAAUAAAGUAAUAUGCAUCCAUCCUCUGUCAGAAUUUACUUAGUAGAGAUCAAUAAAGUUUUACAACUUCAAAAUUCUAGGGGUUUAUACGAUAGUAUGCUAUGAAACAUGUUAAAUGCAUGAAAUAUUAAAGUUUUCAAAAUAGUUUGUACUGUUAUUUUAUAGCUUAUGAUAUUCUGAUGUUUGUUGUUUUUCCCUGGUGUCUGCUAGGAACACUCCUUAUGCUUUUCUAUUUCUUUAUUUUAAAGAACUAGUAGGCCUUUUCAUUGGUAACAUUCUGGCUGUUUGUUAAACCUUGCCAGCACUAUUUGCAUUCUGGAUGAAGUAAAUUCAGGAUGGUGGUAACCUUUAGAAGCUACAAGUAUAACAUUGUGUAGACUUCAAAAAUCAAUACCUGUGCUUCAAGUUCAGUCUUCUGACAUUCCACUAAGUAAAUUUUACAAAUUUAAGUAUCAAAAUUUGAAUGAAUUCAGAGGGGAAAUAGAUACAUAAAGUGGAAUAAUUUAUAUUCCUGGACUGAAACCAAACUUCCCUUAUAUCCAGUUGUACUUUUUCAGCAUUUAUUGUACUAGGUAUUGAAGCUUGUAUUAAUGUACUUUCUACUACUGCCAAACUCAUUACUGUAGAUAAUAACACUAACUCGUAUUAUAAAAAUAUAGUUAGCAAUUAAUUGAAUAACCUAGUUAAUGCACAUGUACUAUCCUUACCUUAUUAUACACUGGAAAGGAAUAAUGGCAGAGGAGUAAUUUUUUUUUUUUUUAAAGUGAAGUAGAAAGUUCUGUGGUAAUUGUUUUUCAGUGAGUUUGGUCAAAGAGUAAUUCAUUCAAUUUGUGAUUAUCUUCUUAGUCAUGACAUCACUGGGGUCUUAUACUAUAAACAAAACCCGAGUUAUAUAUAUUCUGUAGUGUACAUCCUUUAUUACCUAUAUGCUUUGGACUCGACCUGUGGUACUAAGUAUACCUUAUCUAUAAACCUUUUAGUACGUUGUUAUUAGAAAAUCCCAUUUCCCAGAGAAAUCAUUGCUUACACUUUUUUGAAUAUUUUACUGCAAUCCCAAGUUGCAGCAUUGUCUGCACUCUGAUAGGAUGGCUGCCUCAUCACAGAAACAGCUCUAAAGUGAUGUUCCAGCUGAUUCAAGCCCUUUUAAUCUUUAAGCCACCAGAGCUUCCAGCAUUUAUUUUUCAGUCCCCAUUCAAGAAUUAUAGAGAAUCCAAGUGUGCUGUUUACUUGGUUACAGAGACAUAAAACAACUGUAAUAAAUUAUGUGGCUAUAUACUGUAUUUGUAGUAGACACUUAACUGUGUGCCAUGUGGCACAAAACUGUUGAAAGCUGAGAUAGGGACAACUCAAAUGCAGUGUUAACCACCUAAAUUAUCUCAAAUUUUAACAUGUUUUUCUGUCCCUAACCCUGUUUCAGUCAAAAUAGAAGAGGGGGGGCAUGUAUACCUUCCCAACAUACCUUCCUCCCUAGCUUUCAUACUUGUUGAUUUUUCACAGCUUUCCCAUUUCUCAACCUAAGCUCCUUAAAGGAACUGUGUUCAGUUUUCUACUUGUUUUGUACGUUUUUUCUUACCUCCUUGAAAAAGUAUAUUUUCUAAUGUAUCCCUGGUAAGGCUGUUUAUAUCCUAGACAUGAUUGUGGGAUAAAACAUAUUUUACUUAAAACCUCAUUUAUAUGUAGCGCUGACCAAGACACUACUGUCUCCCUUAAAAUUCCUAGCUUAUGCACUGUUGCUAACGCAAACCUCUUUUUUGCCCAGAAAGCUAUGAUGCAAUUUGGUUGAAAAAACUCAUUCUCAAUCCUCAUUAAACUGAAAACCACACCUUGAAGUCCUGAGACUCUACAUAGAGAAGAAAUAAAAAGACCAACAUUGUGUUUUAUUGAGAAAACUGUAGGAAAAGGCAGUAUUAGGUUAUAUAGUAAAAACAGCUCUCUGAAAUGUCUAUUUAAAUGUGUGUGGAUGUAAUAUGUGACAUUCUUAAAAAUUUUUCAUUAAAAUUACAAUUCACACAAUUACAAACUAAUCAGAAACUAAAUCCGAGCUUGAUUAGUGUCUGGAAAAUAUGUCCUAAAAGGACAGGAGAGCUACAUACCCGUGAGCAAUCUAUACUCGCGGUAACUGUUCACAUAGAGGCACUGUGGCAUCUGAAGUAGCAACCAGGGCAGCAAGGCACCGGUGGGAUUUAAGCUUUUCCAGUUUUUCAAAAUAAGGGCACAGGAUCUAGCUUUUCCAAAUAACUUGAUGGAUUUCAAGAAUAAGGAUAAAAGUUAACAAACAAUCCCCUUAGGGCUAACGUCCUGGUUUACAUUCUUGCUAUGUUUUAGAUUCAGAUAUUAUCACCUAGCUACCUUUCCAAAGGAUAAUAACUUCAAAUUUACAAAGUUAUUGUCAAUUCCAACCUUGCUGCUCUGGAUCUGUAGCAAGUACAUAUUAUAAAUAGAUCACACCUUUGCCCACUCAGCAUGCCUAGUCAAACUAGUCAUACUUCAAGGGCAGCAAAUUCACACUUUAUCUAGUGCUUGGGUGUCUUGAAUGUAACAUGCCUCCCUUGCUGUAAGCAAACAAAAACUUUACACUUGAUUUUUUUUUUUUUUAACACAGAAUUCACCAGGGCUAGUAGAAAAUUUGAAGUUUAAAAAAGAUCUUUCCUUUAAUUUUCUUAAAUAAUCCUCAUUUAGCAUUCCACAUUGUGGAGAACUGAAAUAUGCAGUCUGCACACCGCAACAGGGAGACUUCAGAAUACUGGCACGAAUACUUACAUGUAUAUUUUAUAAUCUAUUAGAACAACUGUGUCCCAUCUUAAAGACUACAACAGAUGACAGGCCUUGAACUGCAAGAGGUUUACAGAUAAGACUUUAAAUCUGAACGUAUUAGAUGGGCCAGAAGAAUUCCAAACUGCUGUGAAGAGAGUACUUAAAAACAGGUCUGAAAAAAACUCCAUCACAAUCCUUUGUUCAUUGCAGCUGCACUCUGUACGCACCUAUUAGCAACUUAACCUAUUGGAAGAAAAAAAUACGUAUCAGUACAGAAGUACAGAGUUCACCUUUUCUAAAAAGAGGAAGAAAACAAAACAGCCUACACCCAUUUCUCUUACUGGGCAAUAUUUUCAACUUGGUGCUGUUUCCAUUGUUACAAAAAAAAACCCCAAGGGCUUAUAAUUUGCUUUUAGGAUAUGUUAAAAACAGUAACAGUAAUGGCAAGUAAAUACCAAAGCCUAGAACUAACUUGAGAUGUAUUCUCAUUAGUCUCUUCGUUGGCACAUUUCAUUAUCUAUGCCUGGCACAUUUUAGAUCUAGAUAAAAGUAAGGUGAACCUAGAAUUGCUAACCCUAGGGAACACUUAUCUCUAGGACAGGCCCUUCUUCCAGAAACUAAGGAGCACAAUGUCCCUGAAAAUUUUUUCUGAUGAUAAUGAAGUGAUCUGGAGUAACAAUUUGAGGAAAGAAUUUUUACCUUAGCAGAGGGUGCUUCCGUCAACCUUAUGAAGAGUUUAUUGGGGCCAGCAACAGGACUGAAUGAAUAAACAAAAUGACUAUCC
Molecule: long non-coding RNA, 11470 nt
Organism: Loxodonta africana (African savanna elephant)
Lineage: Eukaryota; Metazoa; Chordata; Mammalia; Proboscidea; Elephantidae
Exons: 5
Source: RefSeq, a predicted model, not a curated record